Molecule: ribosomal RNA, 1370 nt
Filed under: Euprymna brenneri
Lineage: Eukaryota; Metazoa; Mollusca; Cephalopoda; Sepiida; Sepiolidae
Description: 16S ribosomal RNA
Rfam family: Archaeal large subunit ribosomal RNA (bases 1076-1235)
Source: RNAcentral
GUAGAAAAGAUUUAUUAAUAUAAAUUAUUAUAAAAAUGUAUAGUUAAUUAUCUAUUAUAAUAUAAAUAUGUGAUAAUUAAAUUGUUUGUUAAUAUAGUAUUAUAAGUAUAGAUAUAAUGUUUUUUAAGGUACUGUGAAGGUAAAAUAAAUUAAUUUUUUUAUAGUAGAUUUAUUGUUCGUACCUUUUGUAUAAUGGGUUGAUGAUAUAUUUGAUUUAUAUAAAUUUUUCUCGAAAUAAAAAGAUUUACUUAAUAUAAAAUGUGUUGACGUUGUAUAGUCAUAUAAUUAAUAUUAAGUGGUAAUGAUAUGUUUAUCGAUUUUUAUGAUAGCUAGUUUAUUGAUUUGGAAUAUUUAAGUAUUGUGAUAUUAAUAUAAUUUUGUUUAUUUAAUAUUAUAUAUAUUAUGAGGGAUAAGCUUCGUAAUAAAUAUAGAAAUAAAUUGUAUUUAAUUAUAAUUAAAGUAGGAUUAAUAAUGUUUUUCUUUAUAAGUAGUUUAAAUGUUUUUUUGUUUAAUUUCAAGUGUGUAAUCAUAAAUAUUUAAAAAUUAUUUUUUGAGUAAAUAUAAUGUUAGUAUGAGUAUUAAUUAAAUUUAUAAAUUUAGUUGUUUUAAUUGUAAAUAAAUAGUGUUUUUAUUAAAAUAAAAUAAGAUAAAGGAAUUCGGCAAGUUUUAAUCUCGCCUGUUUAUCAAAAACAUGUCUCUUUGUAUAAAAUAAAUAAAGAGUUGGGCCUGCUCGGUGAUUGUAUUUAACAGCUGCGGUAUUUUAACUGUACUAAGGUAGCAUAAUAGUUUGCCUUAUAAAUUGAGGCUAGAAUGAAUGGUUUGACGAAGGUUAAUCUGUCUCUGUCUUAUUUAUUAGAAAUUAAUUUUUAAAGUGAAAAAGCUUAAAUUUUUUAAAAGGACGAGAAGACCCUAUUGAGCUUAUAAUUUUGAUUUAUUAUAAAUAAAUAGUAUUAAAUAAAUUUUAAUUGGGGUGAUUAAGGAAUAAAUUUUUAAUUAGUUAAUAACUUCCUUAAAAAUAAGUAUAUAGAUUUAUGAUUUAACCAAUUAAUAUUGCUUAUAAUAUAGUUACCAUAGGGAUAACAGCGUAAUUUAUUUAGAGAGUUCUUAUUAAAAAAUGAGAUUGCGACCUCGAUGUUGGAUUAAAGUAACCUUAAGGUGUAGAAGCUUUAAUAGGUAAAUCUGUUCGAUUUUUAAAACUUUACAUGAUCUGAGUUCAGACCGGCGUGAGCCAGGUUGGUUUCUAUCUUUUAAAAAUAUUUAUAGUUUCUUUUAGUACGAAAGGACCAAAGAUAACUAAAUUAUUAAUUAUAAUAUUAAUAUAUUAAGUAAAAUUAAUAAAGGUUAAUUAAUUAAUUUAAUUAUAUUAAAUU